This 421-nucleotide ribosomal RNA is filed under the name uncultured Dolichospermum sp. Its description in RNAcentral is "bacterial SSU rRNA". It matches the Rfam family "Bacterial small subunit ribosomal RNA", at positions 797 to 1222 of the family's 1533-position model. Lineage: Bacteria; Bacillati; Cyanobacteriota; Cyanophyceae; Nostocales; Aphanizomenonaceae. The record is from RNAcentral.
UAGCCGUAAACGAUGGAUACUAGGCGUAGCUCGUAUCGACCCGAGCUGUGCCGGAGCUAACGCGGUAAGUAUCCCGCCUGGGGAGUACGCAGGCAACUGUGAAACUCAAGGAAUGACGGAGACCCGCACAAGCGGUAGAGUAUGUGGUUUAAUUCGAUGCAACGCGAAGAACCUUACCAAGGCUUGACAUGUCACGAAUCCUGUAGAAAUAUAGGAGUGCCUUCGGGAGCGUGAACACAGGUGGUGCAUGGCUGUCCUCAGCUCCUGUCGUGAGAUGAUGGGUUAAGUCCCGCAACGAGCGCAACCUCGUUUUUAGUUGCCAGCAUUAGCUUGGGCACUCUAGAGAGACUGCCCGUGACAAACCCGGAGGAAGGUGGGGAUGACGUCAAGUCACCAUGCCCCUUACUCUUGGGUACACACG